Molecule: long non-coding RNA, 930 nt
Filed under: Brachypodium distachyon (stiff brome)
Lineage: Eukaryota; Viridiplantae; Streptophyta; Magnoliopsida; Poales; Poaceae
Description: long non-coding RNA (BDIS_LNC003046)
Source: RNAcentral
GAAGAAACAACCAGCCACAUGAAGGCCAGCCUAGGCCUCUCACUGAAUUUCCAGUAGAGCAAGCCAAGCUAGCUAGUGCGCCUCGUACGCUCGUACAGAAUCAAUCGAUGGAUCCCAAGUCAAACGCAUGCAUGCAAAAUAUUCCAACUAAUCCACGGGACAAACUAGUCGGCCAGGCAGCUUUUCAUAACUAAUCUGCCUGGGGAUAUAUAGUCAACUAUAUUCUGUUCCUUUUUCUCCCCCCACCACAAAUUGUCUCCUCAUGUUUUCUGCAAAGUACUCAGUACUAGUACCAGGAGUAUUUACAAUCUAGAGUAGUGUCCAUGCAUUCUAUUUACAGCCCUGCCGACUGGCUAGGACGACGUCCAGGUCCAGCGGCCGGCGGUGCAGCCAUCGAGGAUGGCCCGGCCGAUGCGGCCUUCUUCUUCUUCUUCUUCUCCGUCGCCGGCUAGUACUUCCUCCGUGAGAGCGCGGAGCUCGCUGGCGCGCAUCCGCACGGCGAUCACCCGCCGCUGCUGCUGGCCGCCGAAGACCACCGGCGCCGGACAGUACGGGUGCACCAUGGACGACGUCGACGCGCAGCUCCCCAUGUAUACAAACACACACUUAAUUAAUUGACCGAUGGAUCACGAUUUGUAGCUGUACGUACUACACAGUACUGCUUUGUACCUGACGCACUUUCACAUGUCUAAUAUAUAUAAAUGGAUCGGAGUUAGUAUAUAUGUAUACAUGGAUGGACGGAUGGGAAAAUGGUGUAAACAAGAAAGAGCAGCAAAAAGAAGAAGAAACACGCCGCACACGCAGAAGCAAUGAAACGAGCAAAGCAAGCGCAUGAAUGAGUGAAUGAAUGCAUGCAUGGAGAGUUGGACAAGCGUCAAGACAACCAGGGCUCCAUGCUGUGGCAUAUAUAUGCCACUAUAUCAAGCGUGA